UGCGUAGGCGGGUCUUUAAGUCAGAGGUGAAAGCCUGGAGCUCAACUCCAGAACUGCCUUUGAUACUGAGGAUCUUGAGUUCGGGAGAGGUGAGUGGAACUGCGAGUGUAGAGGUGAAAUUCGUAGAUAUUCGCAAGAACACCAGUGGCGAAGGCGGCUCACUGGCCCGAUACUGACGCUGAGGCACGAAAGCGUGGGGAGCAAACA
This 207-nucleotide ribosomal RNA is filed under the name uncultured Afipia sp. RNAcentral's name for it is "partial 16S ribosomal RNA". It matches the Rfam family "Bacterial small subunit ribosomal RNA", at positions 568 to 774 of the family's 1533-position model. The record is from RNAcentral. Lineage: Bacteria; Pseudomonadati; Pseudomonadota; Alphaproteobacteria; Hyphomicrobiales; Nitrobacteraceae.